UCCUCAGGGUGCACUUCUUAUUAACA
Molecule: non-coding RNA, 26 nt
Filed under: Mus musculus (house mouse)
Lineage: Eukaryota; Metazoa; Chordata; Mammalia; Rodentia; Muridae
Source: RNAcentral